AUACGGAGGGUGCAAGCGUUGUUGGGAAUUACUGGGCGUAAAGCGCGCGUAGGCGGUUUGUUAUGUCAGAUGUGAAAGUCCACGGCUCGACCGUGGAAGUGCAUUUGAAACUGGCAAACUUGAGUACUGGAGGGGGUGGUGGAAUUCCCGGUGUAGAGGUGAAAUUCGUAGAUAUCGGGAGGAAUACCGGUGGCGAAGGCGACCUUCUGGACGAAUACUGACGCUGAGGCGCGAAAGCGUGGGGAGCAAACAGGAUUAGAUACCCCAGUAGUCC
Molecule: ribosomal RNA, 274 nt
Filed under: uncultured bacterium
Lineage: Bacteria
Description: partial 16S ribosomal RNA
Rfam family: Bacterial small subunit ribosomal RNA
Source: RNAcentral